RNAcentral lists this transfer RNA (75 nucleotides) under Fidelibacterota bacterium. RNAcentral describes it as "tRNA-Arg". It matches the Rfam family "tRNA". From Rfam's summary of the family: Transfer RNA (tRNA) molecules are approximately 80 nucleotides in length. Their secondary structure includes four short double-helical elements and three loops (D, anti-codon, and T loops). Lineage: Bacteria; Pseudomonadati; Fidelibacterota. The record is from RNAcentral.
GCCCAGUUAGUUCAAUGGAUAGAACACGUGGCUACGGACCACGAGAUAGGGGUUCGAAUCCUCUACUGGGUACUA